Molecule: long non-coding RNA, 227 nt
Organism: Juglans microcarpa x Juglans regia
Lineage: Eukaryota; Viridiplantae; Streptophyta; Magnoliopsida; Fagales; Juglandaceae
Exons: 3
Source: RefSeq, a predicted model, not a curated record
GAAAAAAGAUAAGGGAAAAAGCAGACCGAGGCGUAGAUUGGAUACCAAACUAUUGGAAAGCAGUGGAAACCAACUCGGGAUAUCGGGAAUGAGGAUGCAAGAAAAUGCACAAACUCCCAUAAUGGUUGAUCAAGAAAGUGGACAACAAGAUGUGAUGGGGACACCAGAAUGUGUACAAACUCCAGUGAUAGGGACGCAAGAAAGUAUGCAACUAGGAAUGGAUGGAA